CAGCAGCCGCGGGAAAACGAAGGGGGCUAGCGUUGUUCGGGUUUACUGGGCGUAAAGCGCACGUAGGCGGAUCGAUCAGUCAGGGGUGAAAUCCCAGAGCUCAACUCUGGAACUGCCUUUGAUACUGUCGAUCUGGAGUAUGGAAGAGGUGAGUGGAAUUCCGAGUGUAGAGGUGAAAUUCGUAGAUAUUCGGAGGAACACCAGUGGCGAAGGCGGCUCACUGGUCCAUUACUGACGCUGAGGUGCGAAAGCGUGGGGAGCAAACAGGAUUAGAUACCCCAGUAGUCCCUGUCUCUUAUAC
RNAcentral lists this ribosomal RNA (301 nucleotides) under uncultured bacterium. RNAcentral's name for it is "partial 16S ribosomal RNA". It matches the Rfam family "Bacterial small subunit ribosomal RNA", at positions 509 to 807 of the family's 1533-position model. The record is from RNAcentral.